CCAGUUGGUCGGAUGGCCGCUCUGUAUAUCGCGAAAGCUCUGCAGGGAGGAAAGUCCGGGCUCCACAGAAUCACGGUGCCGGAUAAUUUCCGGCGAGGGUGACCUUAGGGAAAGUGCCACAGAAAAGAUACCGCCUAAAAGUAGUAAUUUGUUAAUAACUGUUACAAAUGCUUAGGGUAAGGGUGAAAAGGUGGGGUAAGAGCCCACCGCGGGCCCUGGUAACAGGCCUGGCAUGGUAAACCCCACCGGGAGCAAAACCGAAUAGGAAUGGCGCGGCUUUGAGAUUCGUCUUGAGCCAGUUUGUUUCUGAACCAGCCAUUCGGGUAGGUUGCACGAGGCGUCUGGUAACAGGCSYCCCAGAUGAAUGGCCAUCGCGCAUGUKCGGCAUUUAUGCCGCGCGUGUGAUACAAAACCCGGCUUACAGACCAACUGGUAUU
This 437-nucleotide RNase P RNA is filed under the name Hyphomicrobiales bacterium. Its description in RNAcentral is "Rhizobiales bacterium RNase P RNA component class A". It matches the Rfam family "Bacterial RNase P class A". From Rfam's summary of the family: Ribonuclease P (RNase P) is a ubiquitous endoribonuclease, found in archaea, bacteria and eukarya as well as chloroplasts and mitochondria. Its best characterised activity is the generation of mature 5'-ends of tRNAs by cleaving the 5'-leader elements of precursor-tRNAs. The record is from RNAcentral. Lineage: Bacteria; Pseudomonadati; Pseudomonadota; Alphaproteobacteria; Hyphomicrobiales.